GACGAACGCUGGCGGCGUGCUUAGCACAUGCAAGUCGAACGAAGAGCGAUGGAAGCUUGCUUCUAUCAAUCUUAGUGGCGAACGGGUGAGUAACGCGUAAUCAACCUGCCCUUCAGAGGGGGACAACAGUUGGAAACGACUGCUAAUACCGCAUACGAUCUAAUCUCGGCAUCGAGGAUAGAUGAAAGGUGGCCUCUACAUGUAAGCUAUCACUGAAGGAGGGGAUUGCGUCUGAUUAGCUAGUUGGAGGGGUAACGGCCCACCAAGGCGAUGAUCAGUAGCCGGUCUGAGAGGAUGAACGGCCACAUUGGGACUGAGACACGGCCCAGACUCCUACGGGAGGCAGCAGUGGGGAAUCUUCCGCAAUGGACGAAAGUCUGACGGAGCAACGCCGCGUGAGCGAUGACGGCCUUCAGGUUGUAAAGCUCUGUUAAUCGGGACGAAAGGCCUUCUUGCGAAUAGUGAGAAGGAUUGACGGUACCGGAAUAGAAAGCCACGGCUAACUACGUG
Molecule: ribosomal RNA, 510 nt
Filed under: uncultured bacterium
Lineage: Bacteria
Description: partial 16S ribosomal RNA
Rfam family: Bacterial small subunit ribosomal RNA
Source: RNAcentral